RNAcentral lists this ribosomal RNA (627 nucleotides) under Triticum aestivum (bread wheat). RNAcentral describes it as "partial small subunit ribosomal RNA". Lineage: Eukaryota; Viridiplantae; Streptophyta; Magnoliopsida; Poales; Poaceae. The record is from RNAcentral.
AUGCCCGACCCCGCCAUCGCCCCCUUCCCAGUCAUGGCCGCCCACGCCGUGGUCCUGAGGAAGUCAAAGAAGGUCGCUGCUGCGGAGAGCGUUGCCCUCGCCGCCAAGGCCACGCAACAGGUCCUUCUGUCAGGGUACCAAGAGCCGACGCUUCUCGUCACCACCGCCACCGCCAACAUGGGCUCAUCGGUGGCAAGCCCGCCCAUGCUUCCGGAAUCGUCGCGCCUGUCAAUAAUGCCGCCGGCAUACGGGUGCCUUCCUAGGCACGACCCAGAGGUGUCCUACUUCUCCAUGUCGCCUCGGGACCUCUCACCAAAAAUGCACGACUUCGUGCCGGCUGUCCCAGUGGUGCCUGCCCUUGAUCUCAACGCCACACCGAUGGCCAGCCAAUCCACCAGACGCGAAGGGAGCGCCCAUGGGCGAUCCCCAUUGACAACUUUCCUGACGCCUCCUUCCUAUUCGAUGGUGCCGACACUGGCGCCGGAUAACACGACGUACUACAACAAUUUCAUCGAAGAGAUGAUCUAUGAGGGUGGCCAAGACGACCGCUGCCAAGACACCCAGGGCCACCACGGCCAAGAAACUCGAGACCAAGGCAACCAAGGUAGGAGUCAACAUCGAGGAUGA